This is a non-coding RNA of Pelobates cultripes (western spadefoot toad), 270 nucleotides long. The record is from the annotation of a GenBank genome assembly. NCBI's taxonomy places the organism in Eukaryota, Metazoa, Chordata, Amphibia, Anura, Pelobatidae.
CUCCAUGUACCAUAACAACAAGACCGCAGAUCCUCCAUAGAAAAAGCCUUUUUUCUCUCAGUCGUCAAUUGUGAUGGCCUUUUAUAAAGGUAUGUCAAGCGUAGGGAAAAUAUUAAGACAAAGUAGCCCCUGCUUGGACUUAUUCUAUCUUUUGACUAGGCAGUCAAUGUGAGUAUUUCAUAAAAAUUUUAUGUUUUUGAAAUACUCAUUUUGGACGUGGGUGGGGGGAUGAUUUUAAACAGAAGUAGACUGAUUGUAGUUACAUCCAAU